RNAcentral lists this ribosomal RNA (495 nucleotides) under uncultured bacterium. Its description in RNAcentral is "partial 16S ribosomal RNA". It matches the Rfam family "Bacterial small subunit ribosomal RNA", at positions 28 to 507 of the family's 1533-position model. The record is from RNAcentral.
GACGAACGCUGGCGGCGUGCCUAAUACAUGCAAGUAGAACGCUGAAGGAGGAGCUUGCUUCUCUGGAUGAGUUGCGAACGGGUGAGUAACGCGUAGGUAACCUGCCUGGUAGCGGGGGAUAACUAUUGGAAACGAUAGCUAAUACCGCAUAAGAGUAGAUGUUGCAUGACAUUUGCUUAAAAGGUGCAAUUGCAUCACUACCAGAUGGACCUGCGUUGUAUUAGCUAGUUGGUGGGGUAACGGCUCACCAAGGCGACGAUACAUAGCCGACCUGAGAGGGUGAUCGGCCACACUGGGAGUGAGACACGGCCCAGACUCCUACGGGAGGCAGCAGUAGGGAAUCGUCGGCAAUGGACGGAAGUCUGAGCGAGCAACGCCGCGUGAGGGAAGAAGGUCUUCGGGUCGGAAAGCUCUGUUGUAAGGGAAGAACGAGUGUGAGAGUGGAAAGUUCACACUGUGACGGUAUCUUACCAGAAAGCGACGGCUAACUACGUG